This 1838-nucleotide long non-coding RNA is filed under the name Pelobates cultripes (western spadefoot toad). The record is from RNAcentral. Lineage: Eukaryota; Metazoa; Chordata; Amphibia; Anura; Pelobatidae.
AAGCAUUCUGUUGUUUUGAUGAGAUCUUCGGUACUGAUGGUCAACAAGGGGCAGAGCGGAGCACUAGGUUUGGGCGCAGUAAUCUAGAUAGAUUUUAAAACAUUCCAGCGUUCUACAUGAAAGUUUCCUAAUUGUAAAACAUGCUCUAACUCGGCUUACAGCUUGACUCUUAGUUUAGGUAACUCACCCCAACUAUUCCAAUCUCGUGGAACGCUAAUUGCUACAGAAAACACUCUAGCUGUUGUGUUUUGAUUGCUGCUGCAGUUAUUUAUUUAAUUCCAUAUUUAUAUAUUUUUCAUUUGUUUUGUAUUUCUAUUCUGUUUCAUUCUGUCAAUAUUUAUGAGAGUUUUUUAUUUGUUACCCGCAGGUAAAAUGAAUUUCAAAAUGGUUUGUUUUUUGGGAAACCCAUAGAUUGUGGCUUUCGUGGUGGGUCUGGUUUAUUACUUUACCCUGAUUAAUGUAAGAAACAUAGCCCACUUAUACUUUCAAAUAAUACAUUUUCUGAGAAUAAACAUUUUUGUUCCAGGAUUUUCUAUAUUCUAUAUUUUUGUCGAUGUUUAUGUACCCAUCUCGAUCUGUGUCAUUGAUGAACUGAAAAAUAAUCCAUGUUAAAAAGUAAAUGUAUUUUUUUUGAAGGGAAGGGGGGUUAAUUUAUUUUAUAUUCAUUUAUAGAUGUUUAUAUACAAUGAGUUGAUAACAUUAUUCUAACAUUUAGACCAACUUUGACAAAAUAAUGGAUUCACUAUAUUGCAAAUUUAAACUUGCUUUAGUUCACUAAUUGUUUUCACUGGAUCCUAGAAACGUGUUGAACAUAUUUAUUGAAAAGAAAAUAAACAAUUCUGUUCUGUUCCUCCAUUUAUUGAAGGCAGAGCGGAUAGCGUGUAAAUUAGCCAAAUUAGUGUUCCCACUUCAUCGGAAUACAAUACACUCUGAAAAUGAACCUUCAUGGAGGCAGAGGUGAAAGAGAUUUAUAGAUUCUAUUUAGAGGGCAGCAGUACAAGUUACCGUAAUUGUAAUUCACAUAAUUGCUAAUUCAAGAGAUUUGUUUGGUGCUGUUUAUAAAACACUAGAUAAUUACACAGCAGAUGUGAAUGUCUAAUGGAACAGGAGUAUUCUAAUUGGAUGCACAAAUGGCACACACCUACGCAGUCAAGGAACAGCACGCUACAGAGCUGCAACUCCUGCAAACUGCAAAUACAGUCAUCCUGAGAAGGCUGGGGCCAACGCAUACCAUCCUGGCAUGAUCGUGAUCCUGGUGUGACGUGUGCCCAAUGCAUUCCAUCCUGGUAUGACCUCUUGGCCUUUGAAUAUCAUCCUGGGAUGACUGUGCCCAACGCAUAUUAUCCUGGUGUGACUGUGCCCAAUGUGCCAUCCUGGUGUGACUGUGCCCAACACAUGCCAUUGUGGUGUGACUGGGACAAACACAUACUGUCCUGGUGUGAUUGAUCAAUGGAUGCUGUAGCGGACCACAGGUAACCCGACCGGUUACCACCGCUAUUUCCUUCCUUCAGCCCCUCAGGAACCCUUAGAACAGACAGACAGCCAUUCUCCCAGUAACUGGACGACACACAACUGGCGGUACAAUACGAUUUUAUUAUGCCACACUGUGCCUUUAUGCAUAGCCCCAUGCAAGGGGUCCACUUCACAAACACACAGGUGUUGUAUCCCAAGAUCCUCUACACCUGGGAUCCAAAGCGUGGGAAAGGGGUCGCAGUCCCUUUGUCUCCCAGGUCUAGAAAGCCCGCCACUCACGUGAGGGGUCUCCCACCCAGGACGACAGGGGAGGGGUCUUCAUCCCAGGAUCACUUGGGUCUGGGAGCCAAAGCGCAGGAGAGAAA